RNAcentral lists this transfer RNA (77 nucleotides) under Rhizobium sp. RNAcentral's name for it is "tRNA-Arg". It matches the Rfam family "tRNA". From Rfam's summary of the family: Transfer RNA (tRNA) molecules are approximately 80 nucleotides in length. RNAcentral also lists the same sequence under 113 other names. The record is from RNAcentral. Lineage: Bacteria; Pseudomonadati; Pseudomonadota; Alphaproteobacteria; Hyphomicrobiales; Rhizobiaceae.
GGUCCCGUAGCUCAGCAGGAUAGAGCAUCAGAUUCCUAAUCUGAGGGUCACGCGUUCGAAUCGCGUCGGGAUCACCA